This 492-nucleotide ribosomal RNA is filed under the name uncultured bacterium. RNAcentral's name for it is "partial 16S ribosomal RNA". It matches the Rfam family "Bacterial small subunit ribosomal RNA", at positions 29 to 507 of the family's 1533-position model. The record is from RNAcentral.
AGUGAACGCUGGCGGUAGGCCUAACACAUGCAAGUCGAACGGCAGCACAGUAAGAGCUUGCUCUUACGGGUGGCGAGUGGCGGACGGGUGAGGAAUACAUCGGAAUCUACUUUUUCGUGGGGGAUAACGUAGGGAAACUUACGCUAAUACAGCAUACGACCUACGGGUGAAAGCAGGGGAUCUUCGGACCUUGCGCGAUUGAAUGAGCCGAUGUCGGAUUAGCUAGUUGGCGGGGUAAAGGCCCACCAAGGCGACGAUCCGUAGCUGGUCUGAGAGGAUGAUCAGCCACACUGGAACUGAGACACGGUCCAGACUCCUACGGGAGGCAGCAGUGGGGAAUAUUGGACAAUGGGCGCAAGCCUGAUCCAGCCAUACCGCGUGGGUGAAGAAGGCCUUCGGGUUGUAAAGCCCUUUUGUCGGGAAAGAAAAGCAGCAGGUUAAUACCCCGCUGUUCUGACGGUACCCAAAGAAUAAGCACCGGCUAACUUCGUG